Molecule: transfer RNA, 76 nt
Filed under: Armatimonadota bacterium
Lineage: Bacteria; Bacillati; Armatimonadota
Description: Armatimonadetes bacterium (anaerobic digester metagenome) tRNA-Arg
Rfam family: tRNA
About the family: Transfer RNA (tRNA) molecules are approximately 80 nucleotides in length. Their secondary structure includes four short double-helical elements and three loops (D, anti-codon, and T loops). Further hydrogen bonds mediate the characteristic L-shaped molecular structure. tRNAs have two regions of fundamental functional importance: the anti-codon, which is responsible for specific mRNA codon recognition, and the 3' end, to which the tRNAs corresponding amino acid is attached (by aminoacyl-tRNA synthetases). tRNAs cope with the degeneracy of the genetic code in two manners: having more than one tRNA (with a specific anti-codon) for a particular amino acid; and 'wobble' base-pairing, i.e. permitting non-standard base-pairing at the 3rd anti-codon position.
Source: RNAcentral
GCCCUCGUAGCUCAGGGGAUAGAGCUGGGGCUUCCUAAGCCCUGAGUCGGGGGUUCGAAUCCCUCCGAGGGCGCCA